UGCUGGCACAUACUCAAUGGCACUAGAUGAAUUCACGGUUCACCUCUCCUAUCCGUGUAUUCGCCAGUUCCAUAGAGCUGUGCAAGUA
Molecule: microRNA precursor, 88 nt
Filed under: Brugia malayi
Lineage: Eukaryota; Metazoa; Nematoda; Chromadorea; Rhabditida; Onchocercidae
Description: microRNA bma-mir-228 precursor
Gene: bma-mir-228
Source: miRBase by way of RNAcentral